Molecule: ribosomal RNA, 451 nt
Filed under: uncultured bacterium
Lineage: Bacteria
Description: partial 16S ribosomal RNA
Rfam family: Bacterial small subunit ribosomal RNA
Source: RNAcentral
GUGGGGAAUAUUGGACAAUGGGGGGAACCCUGAUCCAGCCAUGCCGCGUGUGUGAAGAAGGCCUUUUGGUUGUAAAGCACUUUAAGCGAGGAGGAGGCUACCGAGAUUAAUACUCUUGGAUAGUGGACGUUACUCGCAGAAUAAGCACCGGCUAACUCUGUGCCAGCAGCCGCGGUAAUACAGAGGGUGCAAGCGUUAAUCGGAUUUACUGGGCGUAAAGCGCGCGUAGGUGGCCAAUUAAGUCAAAUGUGAAAUCCCCGAGCUUAACUUGGGAAUUGCAUUCGAUACUUGUUGGCUAGAGUAUGGGAGAGGAUGGUAGAAUUCCAGGUGUAGCGGUGAAAUGCGUAGAGAUCUGGAGGAAUACCGAUGGCGAAGGCAGCCAUCUGGCCUAAUACUGACACUGAGGUGCGAAAGCAUGGGGAGCAAACAGGAUUAGAUACCCUUGUAGUCC